Molecule: long non-coding RNA, 555 nt
Organism: Colias croceus (clouded yellow)
Lineage: Eukaryota; Metazoa; Arthropoda; Insecta; Lepidoptera; Pieridae
Exons: 2
Source: RefSeq, a predicted model, not a curated record
UACUUACAAAAAAAACUUGUCCAUGAAUUCAGUGCGUGUAUCACAAUCGCUUUAUUUUCACUGUAGGUGCUUAAGGCGUUAAUAGGGGCUAGCGACCUUGGCGACGAUUUACUAGGCGGAAUCGGGGGACCGGCGCGAAUCUAUCGUAGUAAAAGUUAGGUAGUACCUAAUAACAAUGAAGUCUUGCACGAAAGGCAUAACACAACACCCUGUUUGGAAGGCAGUAAUCAGCUUAGUGGGCACUGGCGAUGGCAAGGUGUUAGUUCGACAAAACAAGUUCGGGAACUUCCCCCUUAAGUAGGCCUUACAAAGGGUCUUUGUUUGGAAAUAAAACAAAGAUAUUUUGGCAUUACGAGUUGCGAAAGGGCUCUAACAAUCUCUAUAAGUAAGGUAAACUGGAGAGGUUCGUAUUACUGGGUUGAAGGAAUUGUAAUUAAGUUUUGACGAAGGAAAGAAGGAACCUACGAUGAAGGAAAAUGUACUGUAUAUAACAUGGAGUUAAUGAAAGUAGUACGUGCUACGCGAAUUUAAUAUUAAACGGUUUUUGAUGACUCA